GUUCCGGAGCAGAAAGUCUCAGCAGCCAAAGAAGGGAGUCGGGGCUGCGCCUGCGCACUGCGGCCGCAUUCCACCUCCCCUUACCAGGAAAGAUCCCCAAACCACAACUGUGAGCGGUCCAGGAGCAGAGAGUGCCCAGUCUCCAUAUCCUGGUGAAGAAGAUUCCCAUCCUCAAAGCAGAAGCCCCCGCCCUGGCCACCCAGGCUGCCUCCCCUCUCCCGGAUCAGUACCCAACGGCUAAGGGGAAGGAGGGAGAAAAGGAAGAAGACAAACCAGAGUCCCCAUGGCCUCGGCGGCUACUGCUCUUGCCACCGACCCACUCUACUGGAGCCAGAGGGAGGCAGAAGCUCAGGCUGCAGCACUGCACAUGACAACAGGUGGAUCCCCCCUUUUGACAGAGAAGGAAACUGAGGCAGAGGGCAGCAGCUGACAGCCCAGGCCCCCCUCUCAAGUUCCCCUCCUCCAGGGAUCUCUUAACAUCCUGCCACUCCUUCUGCUUUGAGGGGAUCCCAGGUGCUCCCCAAACGAGGGGUCAACCCCAUCCCCACUAAUGGCACAUUGGGCAAGUGUAAGGUAAGGCCUGCUGGCCCUGGUCAGAGGACAUGUUUCACUGUCCACACUGAGCUCACUUUCCCUACAAACACUGUCUGUAACUUCACUUUGGGACCACUGAGGUACAUUUAUUGGUCCAUUGAUUAAUAAAUAAAUCUUGGCUCCAUUUCACUGAA
Monodelphis domestica (gray short-tailed opossum) is the source of this 728-nucleotide long non-coding RNA. RefSeq lists it as uncharacterized. Lineage: Eukaryota; Metazoa; Chordata; Mammalia; Didelphimorphia; Didelphidae. The record is from RefSeq and is a predicted model, not a curated record.